Gadus morhua (Atlantic cod) is the source of this 3709-nucleotide long non-coding RNA. RefSeq lists it as uncharacterized. The record is from RefSeq and is a predicted model, not a curated record. The transcript is spliced from 5 exons. Lineage: Eukaryota; Metazoa; Chordata; Actinopteri; Gadiformes; Gadidae.
GUCUCCGAGGUCCUAACACAUUAGAAAAGGUCCGAACAAUUCCGAACGAGGUCCGAACGCAUUCCUAUCGAGAUCAAAGAGUUUCAAACGAGGUCCGAACAACGUCCGAACACGGUCCGAACACUGAUUCCGAACUGUGUAGGUCACGUGACCGAGGAGGUGUGGUUAUCAUGGUGGUUAUAGCUUUAGAGUGGCAGCCAUUCUUUUCCACCGCAUCACAACAGACUCGGGAAAAAGAUGACUAACACAGGAAAGCCAGACGGCUACUGGAGGGACCUCUGCAUAAAAUAUGCCCAGGGCCAAUACCGCUUCUCGACUGGCAAACGGCCAGGGGCCAAGAAAUGGAAAAAGGCCUUGGAGAGCAUCGAUGCUUGCCCCCUGCAGAGCCAUAGUGCUAGUAAGGAUCUGUUCGGGAGAAGCCUUCAGUGCUCCUGUGGGUUCCACAAGGUAUGUGAAAUUAUUUUCCCCUGUGGGUUCCACAAGGUAAGUGAGUUAUUUACUAAUUGAUUGUUUACAGGUUUGCUUGUUUUUUCCUCUGGUGGGCUUCAGUGAUUUUGCAGUAAUGCCUGAUGUAUUUUAACAACUGGAGAAAACUAGUAGUGUAGGAUUCUUAGGUGUAUGUAGCAUGGCCCCUCUUUGUGUACCCCCCCCCCCCCCCCAGCCAGCAGAUCUGUCAUCAGGAGCUGGGUCCAGUGAGGCAGGAGUAGUUGAGACAGAGGGAGGGCGAGUCCGAGUCGGCUCAGAGGCAGGAAAAGGAGACACGGAUGCAGGGGGAGCCCGGUCCCACACAGAGGCAGAGGCAGGGAGAGGAGACAAGGAGGCAGGGGCAUCAGUGGCAGGACAGGAAGUGCAGUGCUACGGGUGCAACCAGCUUGUGGAGGCAGCACAUUUUUCAGAGCACCUGUCUGACCACCAUGCUCAGGAGACGUGUGACACCUGUGGGGCCAAGGUGCAGGGUACUGUUGAUCUUUUGAACCAUAUUCAACAGGUUCACUAUGCAGGAUUCGUUAUGCCAUCAAUGCAAAAGCCAACAGUACAAACACCGAAGCCAACGCCAUCACCACCGAAGCACACACUACUACCACCGAUGCCAACGUCAUCUCUGCUCCCUCCUUCAAAUAGCUGUGCCACGCCACACCACACUGCAACUCCACCUAAACCAACUCCAGUAGUUUUUUCUUCCCGAUCAAUUUCGGAAAGUAAUCCAGGAAGCAGAUCAGGUGUGGAUUGCAAAGUGCCUAUAUGAGCCUACAGGUCAGCUGAAGCAGAAAUUUGAAGCCUGCUGGUUUCACCCCCCACUGGAGCCCAAAUCCUCUCGUCCUGAGCCUGGAUGGUACCACCGGCAGAGGCUGUUCAUCUGGGCACCCAUGAGGAUGUGGGGAUUUCCUUAAAAUGCCCAAAAUUUUCCGGGAAAAUGAACAGCUCCGGUAUAUAUAUAUUGUCAUUGAAGGAGGAAGCGGACAUAGUCCAGCUAUAUACAGCUCUCCAUGACAUGGACAAGAAGCAUUCAAGCUACACCCAGAAGGCUAGAAAGCAAGGACAGACAUCAGGAGGACCGUGGAGAGCACCGAGGAGGCCGAGUGGCUCUGCUCCUGGACAGCAGGCGGCAGAGAGACUAUACAUGACUCACGGCCAAGCAGCCCAGGAUCCCGAACACCACAGGGUCACCACUGCCUCAGACACGCCAAGGAGUUUGACUAGUCACGUUACAGGCCCAAGGACACGAGGGGGAAAACCCUGCCCAUCCCUCGGUCAAUUGUGAGCAUCUACAGCCAUAUUAGACAGCUGCUGGAGGACAGCAGGUCCAGACGGCGCUGGCUCUGGUGCCGGUGAACAACACCACGGUCUCUGCAUGGCUGCUUAGGAGGGACAAGAGGAAGGACAGGAACAUGCUGCUGCAAGGCAAUGUCCUCCCUCAACAGCUAUACCUGGCCAAGGAUCCUCUCCCUUCAAUAAACACUCUCCCGGCUGCCCCUGUGCAACAUGCACAUGAGGUGAGUACAUUAGGUUUAGGAUUAUCGCGUGAUCUCGUGAUCUCGUGUCAAUACGGCUGGCUCGCAAGGCAGCGCAAAGCUGUGGGGAUUGACGCAGGGCAGAGUUCACAGCCGUUCCGCGGCGCUUACGUCCCUGGUGGAAAACAGGCGUUAGGGUAGUAGUGGUUAGGGUUAGGGUUAGGUAGUGGUUAGGGUUAGGGUUUUUGUAUUGAAAGAAGAGAUUGAAAGAGAUUGAAACUUUCCCACGCCCGGGGAUAAACCAUGCCUCCCCAGAGCUGCUGUGUUCGCGACAAUUGGAAGACGGGAUUGAGUGAAGUAGCAGUUGAGCAGUUGGAUGUGGAUGUCCAUGUCCUACAGACUGCAGCCAGACCCUUCUCAAAACCCGACAGAGAACCAAAACAGGUCCUUGCGUUACGUCGACGUGGAACCAUAAUCAGCCCUUAAGGCUGGUGUACAAACACACCAAUAAAUCCCCCCAUUGUUUGGCAUCCCCAAACAUGCACUUGACCAAUCACAACGCUCUAUACUACGGGCCUUAAAGGUCCCAUGGCAUGAAAAUGUUACUUUAUGAGGUUUUCUAACAUUAAUAUGAGUUUCCCUAGCCUCCCUAUGGUCCCCCAGUAGCUAGAAAUGGCAUAAGGUGCAAAACGAGCACUAGGUAUCCUGCUCCGCCUUUGAAAAGUGAAAGCUCAGAUGCUCAGAUUCCGAAUUUGGCCCCAUAUGUCGUCAUAAGGGGCCAAGUUACCUCCCCUUUCUCUGCCUUGCCCACCCAAAGAAUUUGGCCCGCCAAUGAGACAAUGAGUUACGACCGUGCGAGCGCCACGUGUGUGUGUGUGAAUACACACACUGUAACGCAAGUGUUGUACACUUCUUUGUUAUUUGGAUAACCGUUCUUCUGUUUGUGUUAUGGCUCAUAACGUGUCGGUUUUUUGACGUCUGUUAUUUCCACAACGAGACUCUAGUUGGGGUAAUCUCAGCCAUGGUUGAGAUAACCCCAGAAGUUCAUGAACCACGACAUGGGAGAAAUGGAUUGUUGCCCGCGGUUGUCUCCCUCCGGAUAUAUGUUGAGUGAUUUUGUGCUACUUUCCGUAAAAGCGAACGGUGGAAUAAAUAUCUGUGAUAGGGGGCCAUGGUCGGACAUAAUAGUCUGUGGACACAUGCAUGUUAUGAUUUUGCGAUUAUAAACAACCAAUGGGGGGAGUGGAUGGGACUCUACAUGAUGUUACAUUUUUCUUCGUAGAGGUAUUUGUUGUGUUUUUUUUAUUUUUAUCUUUUAGUUAAACCUAUAUGUGUGCCUUUUUGGAUCAAUGGUUGAUGAUUGCAUGACCUAUUUUUGAUUACUGUUUUCCUAAAUGUUGCAUGAGGUAUUUUUGAUUAUUAAUUUAGUGAUGAUUGUGUGACUACUAAUUUAGUGACGAUUGUGUGACUACUAAUUUAGUGAUGAUUGUAUGACAUGGUGGUUGUAUGUCUACUGCUUAUUUGUUGAGUGAGGCUUGUAGCCCACUGUGUAUUCCAUGUGACCCUCCGGACUGCCUGAUUGUGCGGGUUGGUUGGUGGUUUUGAUGAUUGUUGCAUGGUAAUGUACCCAUGAUAUUUUUCUGUUUUGCUUUAUACUUUUAUACUAUUAUACUAUUAUCCUCAUCCUCAUCCUCAUCCGCUUAGCGGAUGCUCCAUAGUACCCUCACUCGCGAACAAGACCCCGAGGUACUUGAACU